GCCGCAUCUUGUCUGCCGGAAAUGUCACCAGCCGUAGAAGAAGAACGAAGCUACGAUGAAAACAAAACGACUCUGAAAAAAACCUUCCAAUUGUAGCAACAGAGACUUUUUGCCUUACUGAAACACAUUUGGCUGAAAUUCAUGCUGACAUUACACUUUGAUUCGCUUAGACAAACCUGUUAGCUUACUAUAAUCCGCACCAACGUUUUUAGCUAACGAUAUAUGCUACCAAAAUAUUAGCUAGUUUAGCCACUAGCUAUCAUUAGCUUGCAACUAACUUAGCAAAUUGCAAAUUUCGACGCAGCUUCAGUUUCUGAGCUGUUUUGUGAAAGACUAGUUUCAUCAAAAAGACGAAACAUGUCGGAUGACUAUGAAUUUAGCGACGACGCGACCAUGAUGAGGAUGGAGGAGGACGGAGAGGCCAACAGCGACGACCCGAUGUCAGCGGCCGGGGACUGUGGCCUGAUGACGGGCGAGGCCGAGGGAUCCAGAAUCGAUGCCAGUAAAAACGAGGAGGAUGAGGGGAAGAUGUUUGUAGGGGGACUCAGCUGGGACACGACUAAGAAGGAUCUGAAAGAUUACUUCUCCAAGUUUGGGGAGGUUGUAGACUGCACACUAAAACUGGACCCCAUGACUGGACGUUCAAGAGGUUUUGGUUUUGUGCUCUUCAAAGAACCUGAAAGUGUUGAUAAGGUUGCCUCACAAAAGGAACAUAAACUCAAUGGGAAGGUCAUUGACCCCAAAAAAGCUAAGGCCAUGAAGAGCAAGGAGCCCGUGAAGAAGAUCUUUGUUGGCGGCCUCUCUCCAGACACUCCUGAAGAGAAAGUCAGAGAGUACUUUGGUGCCUUCGGAGAGGUGGAGUCAAUUGAACUUCCCAUGGAAAACAAAACAAACAAAAGAAGAGGUUUCUGCUUCAUCACGUUCAAAGAGGAGGAACCAGUAAAGAAAAUCAUGGAGAAAAAGUACCACAACAUUGGACUGAGCAAGUGUGAAAUCAAGGUGGCAAUGUCUAAAGAACAGUACCAGCAGCAGCAGUACUGGGGAGGCAGAGGUGGAUAUUUAUCCAGGUCUCGAGGAAGAGGUGGUGGUCCCAACCAAAAUUGGAACCAGGGUUAUGGAAACUAUUGGAAUCAAGGCUAUGGCAAUUAUGGUUACAAUAAUCAAGGAUAUGGAGGAUAUGGUGGCUAUGAUUACUCUGGUUACAACAACUAUUAUGGAUAUGGUGACUACGACAAUCAAUCUGGUGGAUAUGGCAAGUCGCCACGGCGUGGUGGUCACACCAACAGUUACAAGCCGUAUUGAUAGGGGAAGCCCUCGUCUUCAAGUAGCGGAGCUUCCUUGCAGGCCAUGAGCUGACUCCCAGAUACUCUCAGGGCCCGCUCAAUGCGGACCGGGUACGAGAAGCAUACGCUCUCGAAUGCUGCCAUUUGGUUUCAGAGUGAUGAAAGUCUGCAGUGCACUGGUGGAGC
This is an RNA transcript of Toxotes jaculatrix (banded archerfish), 1469 nucleotides long. It is a transcript of the gene named heterogeneous nuclear ribonucleoprotein D0-like, with no coding region annotated. Lineage: Eukaryota; Metazoa; Chordata; Actinopteri; Toxotidae. The record is from RefSeq and is a predicted model, not a curated record. The transcript has 9 exons.